RNAcentral lists this non-coding RNA (374 nucleotides) under Phalacrocorax carbo (great cormorant). Its description in RNAcentral is "Eukaryotic small subunit ribosomal RNA". It matches the Rfam family "Eukaryotic small subunit ribosomal RNA", at positions 1348 to 1831 of the family's 1831-position model. Lineage: Eukaryota; Metazoa; Chordata; Aves; Suliformes; Phalacrocoracidae. The record is from Rfam by way of RNAcentral.
AGUUUGCUCUUCUAAAAUCCAGAACCCUUGUCUUACAGCUGACCUUCAGCACGCUCAGCAGAAUCCCGAACUCCACACUGUUGUGAUCACUGCAGCCGAGGCUAUCAGUAACCGAGAUAUUGAUGCCCUUAGAUGUCCAGGGCUACACGUGCACUACACUGACUGGCUCAGCUUGUGCCUACCCUCCUCCGGCUGGCGCAGGUCACCCAUUGAACCCCAUUUGUGAUGGGGGUCGCGGAUUGCAAUUCUUCCCCAUGAACGAGGAAUUCCCAGUAAGUGCGGGUCAUACUUGUGUUGAUUAAGUCCCUGCCCCUUGUACACAUAGGACUCCAGUUCUGUUUUGUUGGUUUUCAGAAACAGGGCCAUGAUUAAGA